GCAGAUUUGUCCUCAGAUACCCUACUGUCGAGAAGGCCAUUUUUAAAUCUUUAAUAGGGCAUUAGAGCAAUUUGCCUGUGAUUUAGUUUUAAGUGGGCAAGAGGAGCGGUGACAAACGAAGCUGGGAGGCCCUAAAAUUCUUUGAAUAUCCCAUGUUUUCCUGGAACUGUUGGGAAAAGGCUGCCAGAAAGGUCUUGGCAGGUUUUCUAGGUGGCUGGCCAAGUCUGAAGCAAAUGUGGAUAGUUAAUAGGCUAAAGGAGCUCUGGUUCCAAGUCCAUACAUAUAUAUAACAUACGUUUUUAUUUAAGAAAUCCCACCACACGGAGGAGCAAAUGUAGUGCUAAUAUAUCUUCCUGAAGGAAAAUAGCAAGGGGAAAAAACACUGUCAUCUUGUAACGAUAAAAUAAGAGAUCUUUUGCCCUUACUUUUUAGGGACUUGAAUUGUCAGUCGAAGAGGAGAAGAAGUAGGAAAUGAAAUCAGUAGACAGGCAGUGGCUUUCCCAUGAGGGCCCCAUAUUAAUCAGGAAUCGCUUAUAUAGCAAUAGUUUGCGUCUAAGAAAAAAGGCAGAAGUUGUUCAAAGAAUGGAUUUCCGUUCCUAGAUUGACUUUUUGUUGUUGCCAUGCAAGUAAUUAAAAAUAGUAAUUAAGCAGGAAAGUGAUCAAGUAAUGACUUGGGACCUGCUGCUGCAUUUGCUUCCAUGUGGACAGUUGGUUCUAACAUGAAGCAGGAGGCUGCCUGUGUGGGUCUAAUCAUAAGAAUUAAGUGCUGCUACUGAAUCAUCUCGGGUAUAGGCUCAUUUGGGAGGUGUUUCUCUGUGCACUAGGGUCAGGAUCAUGGUUCUCUGUGGCCACAUGUACCUGGGGAAUAGGUGUUUACUUUGAGUUGUUCCCAGGAAACACGAGUCCAGAUUUCUCGGAGACACCAGGUGAAUUAGCUUUGUAAUUUUCAAGUUGUCUUCGCUCUAAGAGAUUCUUGUUUGUAUUCAGCUCCUGGGGCCUGUAUUGUUUUAUUAUUAAUGGGGUGAGGACCAUGCGCACCCUCCACCGUUACAGUGAAACUAUUAUUAUUUAUUAAGCCAUUGGUGCAGACCCUGAAGUUCUGUUAACAGACUUCCUACGGGAUCUUGGAUAAGUCUUUGUGUUUAUUCACUGUAUAUAAAAUAGAGGUCCUUGUUCCUCUUAAAGACAGAGGAACUAAUCCUAUGUGAAUUGUGCAGAGGCAGUCAUGUUGCAUGUCAUACUGGAAUUACAACUGAGCAUACUGUAUAUGUCUAUGAAGAAAUGUUUCAUAUGGACUGCCUCCAUGCUGACAUACACAUUCAUUAGAUGUACAGAGUUAAAGCUGACAGUAUUUACAAUCUAAUACUCUUUUUACUCAAAAUCAACUUGAAAAUGUUAUUACACUUUAAAAAUCCUAAUUAAUGUCAUUUGUUAUAAGUGAAAUAAUCUGAUAUUCAGAUUGUUCUGUUUGUUUUCUUCAUUUUGUAGCUCAUCAAAAGGUCUUUUUGCAUUAUAAACCGAACUAAAUCUAAGUUUAGUGUGUGCUAGAGCCUGCAGUGCAACGUUAAUGAUGCAGCAGUAUGGACUGGCACCAGGAGUGGGGAGACUGGCUGCUGCGCUUGCGUCCCGCUGCUAUUUCUGGCAUGCAGAGGCUGAGCAGUGUCUGAUGGGUCAAACGGUAGCAGAUGAGGAUAACAAAAGUAAUCUGGACAUAGCAACUUGCUUCCAAGGACCUCCAAACACUCCAAGGACAUGGUGCUUCCUCUCCUUCGCAGCGAGUACCACCUUCUGUUCCCACGAGCACCUUUUGAAACCUGUGCGGAGUCAGGUAUUAGGCAUCACCAACCCCACUGAGGGGACAAGAAUGGGUCCCAGGUAAGGCCCCGCAUGGCGAGGUGUGUGCUGGGUCUUCAGAGCCGUACCUGCGCUCCGCAUUGUGUAGCGCAUCUCUGGAAAAUGCAGGGAUCAGCCUCAUAAAGCACAAUGCAGAUUUAGUCGUCAUCUUUGUCUCUCCCCCCCCCCCCGCCUCGCUCUGCUCCCUGCUGAUGUUAACUGUCUGUAUUAUUAUUUAUUGUUAUCAAGG
This 2083-nucleotide long non-coding RNA is filed under the name Strigops habroptila (Kakapo). Its description in RNAcentral is "lncRNA (ENSSHBG00005016593.1)". The record is from RNAcentral. Lineage: Eukaryota; Metazoa; Chordata; Aves; Psittaciformes; Psittacidae.